Molecule: ribosomal RNA, 488 nt
Filed under: uncultured bacterium
Lineage: Bacteria
Description: bacterial SSU rRNA
Rfam family: Bacterial small subunit ribosomal RNA
Source: RNAcentral
GACGAACGCUGGCGGCGUGCUUAAUGAAUGCGAGUCGAGCGAGAAUCAGGGGAGUGCUUGCACAAUCCUGAGGACAGCGGCGAACGGGUGAGUAACACGUAGGUAACCUGCCCCUCAGCCGGGGACAACAGUGGGAAACCGCUGCUAAUCCCCGAUGGUCUGUGGCUUCUGAAGAAGCCACAGUAAAGGCUUCGGUCACUGAGGGAUGGGCCUGCGGGUCAUUAGCUUGUUGGUGGGGUAACGGCCUACCAAGGCGACGAUGACUAGCCGGUCUGAGAGGAUGAUCGGCCACACUGGGACUGAGACAUGGUCCAGACUCCUCCGGGAGUUAGCAUCAGGGAAUCUUGCGCAAUGGGCGAAAGCCUGACGCAGCGACGCCGCGUGAGGGAUGAAGGUCUGCGGAUCGUAAACCUCUGUCUAGAGGGACGAAUGCCCCACUUGGUGGGAGUGACGGUACCUCUGGAGGAAGCCCCGGCUAACUACGUGCC